GACGAACGCUGGCGGCGUGCCUAAUACAUGCAAGUCGAACGAGAGCGACCGGUGCUUGCACUGGUCAAUCUAGUGGCGAACGGGUGAGUAACACGUGGGUAACCUGCCCAUCAGAGGGGGAUAACAUCCGGAAACGGAUGCUAAAACCGCAUAGGUCUUCGAGCCGCAUGGCUUGAAGAGGAAAAGAGGCGCAAGCUUCUGCUGAUGGAUGGCCCCGCGUUGAAUUAGCUAGUUGGUGAGGUAACGGCUCACAAAGGCCGUGAUGAAUACCCGACCUGAGAGGGUGGUCGGCCACAGUGGGAAUGAGACACGGCCCAAACCCAGACGGGGGGCAGAAGGAGGGAAUCUUCCGAAAUGGACGAAAGUCGGACGGAGCAACGCCGCGGGAGGGAAGAAGGUUUUCGGAUCGUAAAACUCUGUGAUUAGAGAAGAACAAGUGCGAAAGUAAUUGUGCGCGCCUGAACGGUAUCUAACAAGAAAGCCACGGCUAACUACGUG
This 498-nucleotide ribosomal RNA is filed under the name uncultured bacterium. RNAcentral's name for it is "partial 16S ribosomal RNA". It matches the Rfam family "Bacterial small subunit ribosomal RNA", at positions 28 to 507 of the family's 1533-position model. The record is from RNAcentral.